RNAcentral lists this long non-coding RNA (2552 nucleotides) under Ananas comosus (pineapple). RNAcentral describes it as "long non-coding RNA (ACOM_LNC021443)". Lineage: Eukaryota; Viridiplantae; Streptophyta; Magnoliopsida; Poales; Bromeliaceae. The record is from RNAcentral.
CUCCUCCUUCCGUGCUCAUAUGGUCAGCGCGAUCUUAAAGGAUCCAUGUUGUCUGACCUAUACUUCUAUGAUUGAGUGUAUAGUCGCAAAAGAUGAUGUCUGAAUGUUAUAGGAUUUUGCAAUUGUUACUGGUACUGUACAGUGUGUUUAUAUAUUAUUGUGCAAUUGUGAAUGGUACUGGGCAAUUUGUAUAUAUAUGAAUGUGAAUGUACAAUUGUGCACACUGUGAGUGGUCGUUCACAGAUAUUUCAUAUAUGAUUGUGAAUGUGCAAUUGUGAAUUUGUGACUGGUAAUCUUGUAUUCUGCUUAAUCAUAUUGUUGAUGUAUUUUGUGUAAUGUGAGUUGUUGAUAAGAGUCUAGUAAAUUUAUCCUAUUGAUGUAAUGUGUCAAUUUACCGUGAUGUCAUUUUCUCCGAUUUUAUCAUAGAUGAGAUGUUAUCCAAAUUAUAUUAUAUUUGCAAAAUAAUUUUAUGAGAGUUAUCGUAUCGGAGAUAGACAUUCAGAAAGUGCAAUGGCGCACCUGUUGAGAUUGAUGAUGUCCCUGCGCCGGUUGAGGAGGCGCAGGUAAGUAUUGAGUGUCGUCGCAACUACAAUAGCAACAAAAGGGUCAGUUUCACCUUCAGUUAGCGCUCAAGUCUAUUUUAAUCACUUAUUUGGAGGCCCGACGCGCGACGAGGUUAGUGCUGCCAUAUAGAAGUGGACAUAUGUAUCUAGCUGGCAUAUAGGGGAGUGGUUUAGCACUACCGAUUUUCUGGGGUGUGGUAUAAUGUUGCAUUUUAAGUUAUAACCGCACAACCCAAGGCUACCAUAUAGAAGUAGAUAGAUAGAAGUGGCAGGUAUAUGGGUGUACUUUUUAGCCCUACAGAUGUUCCGAGGAGUGGUAUAACUGUUCUAUUUUAAGCUAUAACAGCACAAGUAAAGGGUACCAUAUAGAAGUGGACAUAUAGAUAUGGCAGGUAUUUGAGUGUGCUCUUUAGCCCUACAGAUGUUUCGGGGUGUGGUAUAACUGUUCCAUUUUAAGCUGUAACCGCAAAACCCAAGGCUACCAUAUAAAAAUAGAUAGAUAAAAGUGGCAGGCAUAUGGGUGUACUCUUUAACACUACAGAUGUUCCGAGGAGUGGUAUAACUGUUCUAUUUUAAGCUAUAACAGCACAAGCAAGGGUACCAUAUAGAAAUGGACAUAUAGAUGUGGGAGGUAUUUGAGUGUGCUUUUUAGCCCUACAGAUGUUUCGGGGUGUGGUAUAACUGUUCCAUUUUAAGCUAUAACUGCACAACCCAAGGCUACCAUAUAGAAGUAGAUAGAUAAAAGUGGCAGGUAUAUGGGUGUACUCUUUAGCCCUACAGAUGUUCCGGGGUGUCGUAUAACUGUUCCAUUUUAAGCUAUAACCGCACAACCCAAGGCUACCAUAUAGAAGUAGAUAGAUAAAGGUGACAGGUAUAUGGGUGUACUCUUUAACACUACAGAUGUUCCGAGGAGUGGUAUAACUGUUCUAUUUUAAGCUAUAACAGCACAACUAAAGGGUACCAUAUAGAAGUGGACAUAUAGAUGUGGCAGGUAUUUGAGUGUGCUCUUUAGCCCUAUAGAUGUUUCGUGGGAUGGUAUAACUAUUCUAUUUUAAGCUACAACUGAAAAAAUAAAGCCUACCACAGAAAAUAUUAUAUAGAUGUGAAAGGUCUAUGGGACUGCUCUUUAGCCGCACAAAUGUUCCGCAGAGUGGUAUAACAGUUCUAUUUGGAACUAUAACCGCACAUUACAUAUAGAAGUGGAUUAACAUUAGAAUAAAAUUUAUCUUUACGCCAUAAGUUGUAAUACAAUAUUAAAAUAAAAUGUAGAAUUUAAAGCAACAAAACCAUAUGGCAUCAGGACCAUUGAUAUAAUAUAAAGUCUACCACAAAAUACUACAAUAGGUUAUAUUUGUACAACACAACGACUAACAUAACAACACUAUAUAAAAAUUAUUACAGCUUGCAUGAUACAGGGUGGUCAUGUACCCUUGCCACACAAGUUAUAGCAGGAUGACCACAUUAUCCCACUGACUAUCCCAUACAUGACAAAAACAGCCCAUUUCCAUCUUUUUCUUUUUGCUGCAACUGCGGCUUCUUCCCGCAACUUAUUAUUGCUUUCUAGUAAACCAUUAACCACUGAGAUACUCCGGCUCGUAAAUUGUGGGUCGUACCACCCAAAAUAAUUACAUGCGUUACUCCCCUGCAUCUGAAAGAUAAUAUAAAUUACACAUCAAAUAAUGUCAAUAUAUGAAUCAACAAGUUUAUAGUAGCCAGCUUUACCCUAUAUCUUGAACAGCCAUAAAAUCUCCGACCCGGAUUAUUUUGUGUCCAAGAGGUCUUAAUCGUACAGGGCAAUCCACAGUGGCAGAGCGGUGUGGAUUGGUUGCUUCGACUGCUCGAAGUUGUAAAGCUUGAAUCCAUCUAACUUAUAAUAUUAUAACAAUAAGAAAUACGUACAAACCGACGCAAUAUUACGACAGAUAGUAAGCACAAAUAUUGAUUAUAAAUAUGGCACACACCAUCAAAUAAUUAAAAAACCUUAAAUGC